GUAAGGAAUAUUGGACAAUGGACGCAAGUCUGAUCCAGCCAUGCCGCGUGAAGGAUUAAGGUCCUCUGGAUUGUAAACUUCUUUUAUAAGGGACGAAAAAAGGCUUUUCUAAGUCGUCUGACGGUACCUUAUGAAUAAGCACCGGCUAACUCCGUGCCAGCAGCCGCGGUAAUACGGAGGGUGCAAGCGUUAUCCGGAUUCACUGGGUUUAAAGGGUGCGUAGGCGGGCAGGUAAGUCAGUGGUGAAAUCCUAGAGCUUAACUCUAGAACUGCCAUUGAUACUAUCUGUCUUGAAUAUUGUGGAGGUAAGCGGAAUAUGUCAUGUAACGGUGAAAUGCUUAGAUAUGACAUAGAACACCUAUUGCGAAGGCAGCUUACUACGCAUAUAUUGACGCUGAGGCACGAAAGCGUGGGGAUCAAACAGGAUUAGAAACCUCUGUAGUCC
RNAcentral lists this ribosomal RNA (445 nucleotides) under uncultured bacterium. RNAcentral describes it as "partial 16S ribosomal RNA". It matches the Rfam family "Bacterial small subunit ribosomal RNA", at positions 354 to 796 of the family's 1533-position model. The record is from RNAcentral.